ACCUGCCUGUCACGCAGGGGGUCGCGGGUUCGAGUCCCGUCCGUUCCGCCA
RNAcentral lists this transfer RNA (51 nucleotides) under Klebsiella oxytoca. Its description in RNAcentral is "tRNA-Ser". It matches the Rfam family "tRNA", at positions 25 to 71 of the family's 71-position model. From Rfam's summary of the family: Transfer RNA (tRNA) molecules are approximately 80 nucleotides in length. Their secondary structure includes four short double-helical elements and three loops (D, anti-codon, and T loops). Further hydrogen bonds mediate the characteristic L-shaped molecular structure. tRNAs have two regions of fundamental functional importance: the anti-codon, which is responsible for specific mRNA codon recognition, and the 3' end, to which the tRNAs corresponding amino acid is attached (by aminoacyl-tRNA synthetases). tRNAs cope with the degeneracy of the genetic code in two manners: having more than one tRNA (with a specific anti-codon) for a particular amino acid; and 'wobble' base-pairing, i.e. permitting non-standard base-pairing at the 3rd anti-codon position. The record is from RNAcentral. Lineage: Bacteria; Pseudomonadati; Pseudomonadota; Gammaproteobacteria; Enterobacterales; Enterobacteriaceae. RNAcentral also lists the same sequence under 3 other names.